This is a long non-coding RNA of Coturnix japonica (Japanese quail), 2241 nucleotides long. NCBI's taxonomy places the organism in Eukaryota, Metazoa, Chordata, Aves, Galliformes, Phasianidae. The record is from Ensembl.
CCUCUACUCAGGUCAGAGUCUGACUGAGCCAGGCAUGUGACUACUGCUCUUUCCCAACAUAACUCAUUGCAUUUGCACUUGCACAAGGGUUACCUCAUCCUCUCCCAGGAACAGCUGCCAAUCUCAGGGUAACCUCACUUUUCUGUGGAGGGGGGAAAUAUGAGCUUUACGUGUGAAAUUGUUUGUAGCACAGUCACUUCUCAAUGUUGAGGUCGAUGUGUGCUUAAAUUGCUCUGAGCAACUGAGUUUAUCCUAAUUCCUCUGUCACGUUCCCUUGCUGCAGCUGUGACUCUGUUCUGUAACUUCUCUAAUUACACGUUGCAUUUGCUGCUGUCUGUUGCUGGGUGUGCUGUGAGCAUUUAGGUUUCUUUUUUUCCCCCCUCUGCAUUCCUGUAAUGUAAACAGUAAUGUAAACAGAUUCAUUGAAGUGUAUUUAACCUGAAAUAAUCUAGAACGCGUUGCUUUGGGCUGUGUAUUUUAGGCGCUGCCUUCUGCAGUUCUGUAUUCACUUUCUUUGUGCAAAGAUGGGAGGGAGGAUCGUCUCUUUUAGGCUGCACAUAGCUGUAGGUUUUCUUUGCUUCAAACAGCUGCAAUCCACGAUGCCAUUGGUGCUCAGACUGGGCGUGUUUUGACAGCACGGAGCUGCUUUGCUAACUUGCACUUAACGUCGGUGCACGAUCCCAAUACUCAGAGUUCACCUGUAGGGUCACCUGAAAAACUCAAAGGUCUGUGGGCUGAGCCACGUUUAGCAACAUGUUGGGCAGCCAUUGGAGGGCGGAAAGUGCAGGACCUGCUAUUCCCCACCCCACCCCCCCUUCCCGAUAAGCUGUCCCCCGGGGCUAUUGACAGAGCUAUUAAAUAUUCUGCAUUUAUUGGAGGAAAUAAAGAUCUCAGAACAAUAUUCAAGAGGGUCCAGAGUACUACUCAGACCUAUACAAGGCUGCAGAUGCUACCAGUACCACAGUAGAGGAACUGGGAUCCAGGAUCUGCUGCACAGCUGUGGAGGAGCUGGGAAGUGGUUCCUACUGUGUCUUCAGGAGGUGAUCAGUUGGUGUGUACUGUUUUCAUCCAUGUCACCUGCUCCUUUAGUAUUGGACCCAGCAACUCAUCACAUUGUAGCUGUUCGCCUCCUAGAAGCCAUAGAAAACACUGACAAAAAGGAUGCUCGAAUACCUUUCUAUCACUUUUCCAAUUUUCCUCUCCUUUUUAAUAGCUGCAAAGUCAUUAGGAUGACUGGGUAAGGAUGAUAAAUUUGCUGAUGAUGAGGAAGUGUGAACAACCCAUGUUCAACAAUUGCUUAUCUCCAAAGGCUCCUUAAGAUGAAUAUUAUCAGUUAAAUGAAAGCUUUUUUUUUUCCCACUCUGUGUUGCUGUGAUGGAGGGAAAAAGAAGAUACUGUGUAGUUUAUCAAGUCUAGAGAGGAAUAUUCUGAUUGUAGAUCAAAUGAUUAAACCAGAUAACUGGCAUCAUGCUGGCCAUUUACCUAGAGUAUAAAGAGGUUUGAAUUAAUUGGCAUUAAUGGAGUUGUUAUAUUUAGGGGGAUUAUAUUGAAAUACCCACAGUUGUCCUUACUGUAUGUGGUGAUGAAGCUCUUCUGGAUGAUAUUCAGGGAGUGGCAUUAAAACUUAAUUUAAAGAAAAGAGCAGCAACAAAAACCCACUAAUAUACAUUCUUGUGCUUAUUGCUUGACUUGGGCUUUGUUCCUUUCUUGGUACAAAGGAGGUAAGACCACAGGAUAUCUGAUGUAGCUAGACAUGAAUAUUUUAAGGUCUUGGUUUUGAAAGCAUCUUAUGUCUUUUAUCUGUACACUUCCUGCUCUACCCCUGUAUUAUUAGCACAACAGGCCCUUCCUAUUUGGCAAGGAAGAAAAGCUGAGAGAGUCUAAGCAUUGCAGCCUGGAAACAACUUUGAGUGUAGCUAUGCACCUGCUAUCUUUAGGAGCACAGACUGUAAUAACAACAAUGUUGCUUCUGGUUUCCAGAUCCAGAGACGAUGGAUGAAGCUUCAGUGUUUGUAACUGCUGUUGGUCUGGUGGGAGAACUGGGAGGCUGCUGAUAUAGCUUAAAAGGGGAACAGCAGUGUAUCUAUGGAGCUGAGGGGGUAAAGCUUUAAAAACAGAAAUACACUGCUAUGUAUUUACUUGAAUUGAUCAAUUUUACCAUUAUUCGUUCACAUUUCGCUACUUAAAAGCUUUAAAUCAAGAAAAUGUGAGGCCUUGAAUGCUGCAGCUUUGGUGGCUGUU